CUUGAACUCCUGGGCUCAAGCUAUCCUCCCGCCUCUGCCUCCCUGAGAGCUGGGAUUACAGGCGUGAGCCACCGCGCCCGGCCUAGGUGCAAGUAUUUUAUUCGAGAGGAUGUUGAAAGGAGCACUGUGAAGGAGUGGUGAAGAGAGGCAGAGAAGAGAGGAAAGCCAAUAAAAGGCAAUGAGAAGAUCUCACCAGCUCCGGAAUGUGCUGUGGGAAGAGGAGGCACGGGAGGAUGCAGAAACGGGGGAGUUUGCUUGACCAGUGAGAUGAAGACAUAGGGAAGAGAACUCAUGGCAUGGAAAAGACCACUACUGAGACACUGCACCUCCACACUGAGCUGUGAUAAGGAAGCACAAGAGGAAGAAGAGGGUGAUGGGCUGGAAGAAAAUAGAGGGCCAGUGGCCGGAGGGGCCCGUGUCGUCGGAGAGCACAAGCAGAGGGAUUCGUGCAGUCGGUGAGUGGGACGAGGAGAGGCUGUGGGCAGCUGGUGAGGUGUGGGAGUUACGGUUUUAGAGCUGGGGUGGUUCUGGCUGUCAGCAGGGUCCACAGUGAUGCUGUGGGAGGUGACUGAUGACCAAUGAGAGAAUGAGUGAAUCGAUUUGUGUGCUCACCGGAGCCAUUUUCUUUCUCCAGUUAGCCCAACAGCCUGUCUGUUUCUCAUCCUUUGGUUUACAACAACUUUGCCCCCAACUCCGUGACUUCCUCAGUCUUCUUGUUUUUUUGGGACAGGGUCUCAGCUGGAG
Molecule: non-coding RNA, 744 nt
Organism: Macaca mulatta (Rhesus monkey)
Lineage: Eukaryota; Metazoa; Chordata; Mammalia; Primates; Cercopithecidae
Source: RefSeq, a predicted model, not a curated record